GACGAACGCUGGCGGCGUGCUUAACACAUGCAAGUCGAACGGAAAGGCCCUGCUUUUGUGGGGUGCUCGAGUGGCGAACGGGUGAGUAACACGUGAGUAACCUGCCCUUGACUUUGGGAUAACUUCAGGAAACUGGGGCUAAUACCGGAUAGGAGCUCCUGCUGCAUGGUGGGGGUUGGAAAGUUUCGGCGGUUGGGGAUGGACUCGCGGAUUAUCAGCUUGUUGGUGGGGUAGUGGCUUACCAAGGCUUUGACGGGUAGCCGGCCUGAGAGGGUGACCGGCCACAUUGGGACUGAGAUACGGCCCGGACUCCUACGGGAGGCAGCAGUGGGGAAUAUUGCACAAUGGGCGGAAGCCUGAUGCAGCAACGCCGCGUGCGGGAUGACGGCCUUCGGGUUGUAAACCGCUUUCGCCUGUGACGAAGCGUGAGUGACGGUAAUGGGUAAAGAAGCACCGGCUAACUACGUG
Molecule: ribosomal RNA, 468 nt
Filed under: uncultured bacterium
Lineage: Bacteria
Description: partial 16S ribosomal RNA
Rfam family: Bacterial small subunit ribosomal RNA
Source: RNAcentral